This 75-nucleotide transfer RNA is filed under the name Pleurotus ostreatus (oyster mushroom). RNAcentral's name for it is "tRNA-Pro". The record is from RNAcentral. Lineage: Eukaryota; Fungi; Basidiomycota; Agaricomycetes; Agaricales; Pleurotaceae. RNAcentral also lists the same sequence under 9 other names.
AUGGUAGAUGACAAACUGGUUCGUCGCUCCCUUUGGGUGGGAGACAUAUAGCGUGUUCGAGUCGCGCCUACCAUA